Long non-coding RNA from Diabrotica virgifera virgifera (western corn rootworm), 4230 nucleotides. RefSeq lists it as uncharacterized. The record is from RefSeq and is a predicted model, not a curated record. NCBI's taxonomy places the organism in Eukaryota, Metazoa, Arthropoda, Insecta, Coleoptera, Chrysomelidae. The transcript is spliced from 2 exons.
UAUAGCGACCGUAUAUUUUUAAUUAACAAUUUAACUGUUGCUAAACUGUUCAUUCAAUUUCCAUCGGCUUCUGGAAAUUAUAAUCUGUACCAAAAGAGCUUUUGUAUCACCAAGUUAUUUAAUUAUUAAUAAAUAAUUACUUACCUAAAAUUUUAGUUAAAAAUUAAAGAUUUUGUUGGAAAAACCCGCAUUUUCCGAGGAAAAUUUUCGUCGAAGUAAAUCGAUAAAAACAUGUCUCUAUGCAGAAUUUAAUUACGGUGAAUUUUUGUUGGAGUGUUUUUGGUAUAAAGUUAAAAUCUUUGUAGUUAUAAAGCAAAAAUUUAAAAAAACACGAUUUUUGGGAGACAUUUUGUUUAUAAAAAGUAGCACACCAUCUGCGGAAUUUGCAUACAUAUAUUAUUAAUAUAUAGAAUCAUAAAAAUGGCCUAUUCUCCGAUAAUCUGCCCAGACUACUAUACAAUAUUUAUCUUUUUUAUUAUUAACUCACAUUAACUUUUACUAUUUGUUUGAAUUUAUAUUAUAUUUCAGAAUAAUCAGAAAUACGUAUUUACGGUUGCCUUCCAUCUUAUAUACCAUUGUUUUGUUUCGCUUGUUGCGAAAUAUGCCAAUAUUUUUUACCUUUUUUACUAUGCACUCGCAUUCAUCUUUAUUACUUUUUUUAUACGUAUAUUUCCACAGGUUGCUGUAGCUUCCUCCGUGGAUAUCGUUAGUUGUUGACUUCAACACUCAGGGUCUUCUAACACUAUUGCCACAAAUUGGACACAUUGCACCAUACUGAUAUGUCCAAAUAGUUAGAAAUACGUAUUUACUUAAACUGUUGCUAGACAUGCCAACAUUUUUUAUCUUUUUUACUAUUCACUCACAUUUAGUACAUAUAAUCCGGUCAACUUCAGACAUCAAAAUAAUUGGCAAAUAACAAAAAUUGCCGGAGAGCUAGAGUUUACCAUAACAAAUAAAAUUUUAAAAGUCCCCAUCGAUCCCAUUUGUACAACAAAAGAUAUUCGGUUUCAAAAUUUGAGAUUUUUGGAUUUUCUCGAAAACGGUAAGUUUUAUCAAAAAAAACAUCAAAUUAAAGUUGUAGAUCUGAACAUUCUUUACAAAAAUAGUCGUUACAAUUUUUUUCCUAAGAGUUACCAUUCCUGUGAUAUCGCGAUUUUAAGUUACUUUAUACAUUAUAUGCACAUAUAAGCCACGUAUAUACAUCAUGUGGCACUUAAGACAAGUAUAAAUUAAUAUUUGUGUCUCUUUUAUAUAAUAUAUUAUACUAUUCGGAAAAUAUUUCUUCAAAAGAUAAUCAGUCCCAAACUGAAUUUCCUCUAUCCACGUGACCUUAAAAAACAUUUGGCUAUACCAUUGUUUAAAAAAACAGAUUGUCUAUUGUAAACAAUGGCUACAGUAUUGUCCGUAGGUUUUGUUCAUUAUUAUCUGUUUCUUUUAGUGCUAAAGGUUCAGUUCAAGUGAAUAUACGUGCUUAUUACAAGCGUCUACCAUUUAGCAGACAUUACGGGCUUACAGUGACAGUGGUAUUUGACGGCUACAGUGACUCGACAAAGAAUAUUAAAGCUGCAGAACAACGUCGUCCAACUACAAAAACAUCAUCGGGUUCCGAGAUUAUCUUUGAUGAAAAUAUAACAGUUCCAGCGAAUCAACAACAAUUUUUCGCUAACCUUAAUAAUACAUCUCGUUUCAUUUCCAUGUUAACUGAUAAAUUAACAGCUGCGAAUAUUGAAGUGAAAUAAGCUAAAAAUGACGCAGAUGUCCUUAUAAUUGAGACAGCAAUUGAAAAAUUUAAGGCAACAAACACAAUAAUUGUAGUUGGUGAAGAUUUUGAUUUGUUAGUACAUACUGCUUACUGCAAAGACUCCAGUAGAUAAAGUUAUUUAUUUUAUGAAACCUGGAAGGAAGGGCUCAACAGCGAACAGAGAUAUAUUCUUCGAAAAGUUUAUCGGCUUAUCCCAAAUGCCAAAAGUACAUUUUAUUUUUACAUGCGAUAACCGGCUGCGACACCACGUCCGCAAUGUACAGAAGGGGCAAAACGUCAGUACUUAAAUUAUUCGAAAAAAAAAAAAAAAAAAAAAAAAGAUUUGACUGACUGCUGUAAAGUUUUUACAGAGCUUGAUUCCACACCGCAAACAAUAAUUACGGAAGGAAUUCGCUUUCUUCUUGCGGUUUAUGGACCUCCAAAAAAAAAUUAGUUGUCUUGAUAAAUACCGACACUAAACUUUUGUAAAAAAUACGCGAAACAAGUACAACUAUCAUGUCUUCCUCCAACAUUGUAGCAGAUGGAUUUCUACUACAAUAUUUUAUAAAAAAUAUCCAUUAAUUUUAAUCCUAUCCCAAGAAAAAUAUCAAUUUUUCUAAUUUAUUUUGUCAGUUUAAAUAUCUUUAAAAUUUCCUAAGCCGCUCCUGUUCGAAAUAUUUCAGAAUAUUUUCGCAACAAAGUAAAAUCAUAGGAAAGUUCCUAUUUAUUUGAGUAGCAUUUACCAACUACGUAGAUAGUUAUUGUGAAAUCAUUCAUUAUUCGAGAAUGAAUCCUCUAAAAGGUUUGGUGUUUUUCCUUUAAGUUUUGAGCGAUAAAAAUCCCAUGUUAUUAUUGGUCUGCAUUUUGAAAGAUCCUUGAGUUGUAGUUGACGAUUGGUCAAUAGUUUUGGCCGAACGAUCGAGAAGAAAUGCAUCGUUUGGACGCGAGAGAGACGUGACGAUGUAAAGUUAGUUCUAAAAGUACAUCACUUCAGUAAACAUCUUUUUGUUAGAACUCAAAAAGUCGCACUUUGCCGGCCAAAAUGGUUUUCUUCUUAUAGUAAAAGAACUAAUGGAUUUCUAACAUGUCAAGGAAUAUAAUGACAAUAGUUUCACGGCAUUUUAAUGGAUAUAUUAUUGUGAAACAGUUCUAUUGUUAUGCAGUUUGAUUUGCCGGUAAAAGAAGUGCGUGGUUUCCUGGUUCCUGUCCUUUAUGUAGCUGUUGCUAUUUUUAUGAUGUUUUGAUUUGUUCAUGUUCCAGUAAGAAAUGCCCAGAUGAUAUUAUUUGGUAUCGAUUUUAUCCAGUUUUGUAAUGAUUUGAAUAUCUUCCCCUCCCAGCCCCGUCUGAAUGGAAAAUUUUGAAGUUCCAAGUGUUGUGACAUGGAUUUUUGUUUUAAGGUAUGAUAAUGUUUAUUUUAAAUAAUUCACAAGUGGAUAUUAUUGGUAAAGGUUUUACAUAAUUAAAAAUGUUUGUUUUCAACAUGGAAAAUAUAUUAUGUAAAGUAAAUAUUAGAUGGCAGUGACAUUUGACAGCCAUGUCAAAUUUUUGUUUUGGUACACUGCUAAAAAUAAGGUUAAAAAUUGUAAAAUCAUGUAUUUUGUUAUUAUUAUUCAUUUCUGGUUUGAGAAUGUGUCUAUUCUCAAUAAAAAUAAAAAGGUAUUAAGGUUUAAAUAAACAUUAUAAAAUGUACACAUCUUUAUUUCUGUAACCUCUUUAUUUAAGAAAAUUAUUAACAGAUAUCUAAUACAAGUGAAUAAGUUUUAGAACAGAAGAAAAUAUAAUGGCAUAGAAGCCAAAUGAUGAUAAUUUGUAGCCCACUAUAACCCCAAUGAGGAAUCUACGAUGAAUGUCCCCCAGUUGCUUUCCAGUAAGUACUCGAUAUGAGAAUUUGAGGAUUUUUCAAACGGCGUCCCAAUUUGUUUAAAUAGUAGGAAAGUCCUCAAGUCUGUGUAAGUAUCCUUUGCUUAUUUGGUUAUGUAGUUUAGUCUUCUUUAAACCCUCCUACCCCUCCCAACGAAUCUACGACCUGCCACCGCACAAAAAAUGAGCUGCCGUUCGCAUGAAGGUUUGCGUGUCUGUUCCUUCUGCUAGCCCCAUUUCGACUCCCCAGUAUCUCUAUAGAUAGUCUUUCCUUGAUCCCAUUAGAGCAGACAGGUAAAACGCUUCAAAUGGAUUAUUUCUUUCCCAAGGCACAGAAACUCUUGUCACCUACAGUUCUUUGUAGAGUCAAGAAACAUUUAAGUCUACUCGACUUUAAAGAGUCUGGCGAUUGAUGGCACGCUAGCCCACUCCCUAACAAUGAUGUUUUUGUUUUUGUUUAAUCCCCAUUAGCCAUUAUUUAAAUAUUUUUGUAUUGUUGUCCUGUCACACCCAAGAAGUCAAUGUUUAUUUUUGUAGUUAUCGAAAACUGAAUUGGUAAUCCAGUUUCCUCUCUUCCGAGGAGGCUAUUGUAGCAGAUGGAUUUCUACUACAAUAUUUUAUAAAAAAUA